AUUUGUCUGGUUAAUUCCGAUAACGAACGAGACCUUAACCUGCUAACUAGAUUUUUGCAUUUUAUGCAUUUAUCUUCUUAGAGGGACUAUGUAAAUCAAUUACAUGGAAGUUUGAGGCAAUAACAGGUCAGUGAUGCCCUCAUAUGUCCUGGGCUGCACGCUGUGCUACACUGAUGCAUACAACGAGUGCCUAACCAGACAUGGUAUGGCAAUCUCGAAUAUGCAUCGUGAUGGGGAUAGAUCUUUGCAAUUAUAGAUCUUGAACGAGGAAUUCCUAGUAAGUGCAAGUCAUCAUCUUGCAUUGAUUAUGUCCCUGCCCUUUGUACACACCGCCCGUCGCUCCUACCGAUACCGGGUGAUCCGGUGAACCUUUUGGACCUGUAUGGGGAAGAUAAGUAAACCAUAUCACCUAGAGGAAGGAGAAGUCGUAACAAGGUUUCCGUAGGUGAACCUGCRGAAGGAUCA
This 465-nucleotide ribosomal RNA is filed under the name uncultured ciliate. RNAcentral's name for it is "SSU rRNA". It matches the Rfam family "Eukaryotic small subunit ribosomal RNA". Lineage: Eukaryota; Ciliophora. The record is from RNAcentral.